Molecule: ribosomal RNA, 774 nt
Filed under: uncultured Neocallimastigales
Lineage: Eukaryota; Fungi; Neocallimastigomycota; Neocallimastigomycetes; Neocallimastigales
Description: partial large subunit ribosomal RNA
Rfam family: Eukaryotic large subunit ribosomal RNA
Source: RNAcentral
UAUGUGAUCGUCUCUUGCAUAUCAAUAAGCGGAGGAAAAGAAACUAACAAGGAUUCCCCUAGUAACGGCGAGUGAAGCGGGAAGAGCUCAAAUUUGAAAUCUUAAAGGGUUUCCCUUUACGAAUUGUAGUUUAAAGAAGUGUUUUCUGUUGAGGUUUUGGUAAAAGUUCUUUGGAAUAGGACAUCAUAGAGGGUGAGAAUCCCGUAUUUGACCUUUACUUUCAACUUUGUGAUACACUUUCAAAGAGUCGGAUUGUUUGGGAAUGCAGUCCAAAAUGGGUGGUAAAUUUCAUCUAAAGCUAAAUAUUGGCGAGAGACCGAUAGCGAACAAGUACCGUGAGGGAAAGAUGAAAAGAACUUUGAAAAGAGAGUUAAACAGUACGUGAAAUUGUCAAAAGGGAAGCGUUUGACACCAGUGUUGUUUUUCUGAAAAUCAAUUAAAGAACUGUUUAUGCUAAGUUGUUUAGACUUUAUCAGCUAUCUGUUUAGUUUUGAGCUUUUCUUUAAUGCACUUUUCAGUUAACAAGUCAACAUCAAUUUCUUUUGCUGUAAAAAAGCUUGAGGAAGGUGGCUUGAGAUUCGUCUUAAGUGUUUAUAGCCUCUUGCCUAUGCAGUCGGAGAGAUUGAGGUCUGCAGCGUAGAUCCUUCGGGGCUAAAUGCAUUUGUGCUAAGUUAUAGCAUUUUAUAGACAACUUGUUGACUAUGAUUUGUCUUGUAGCUUACUCGCUUAUGUUAUUUUACCUACGCUUAGGAUGUUGAAGACUCUACAGAGAUA